UAGGGAAUCUUCCGCAAUGGACGAAAGUCUGACGGAGCAACGCCGCGUGAGUGAAGAAGGAUUUCGGUUCGUAAAACUCUGUUGUUAGGGAAGAAAAAAUGUAUAGUAACUAUAUACAAAAGAGACGGUACCUAACCAGAAAGCCACGGCUAACUACGUGCCAGCAGCCGCGGUAAUACGUAGGUGGCAAGCGUUGUCCGGAAUUAUUGGGCGUAAAGCGCGCGCAGGUGGUUUAGAAAGUUUGAUGUGAAAGCCCACGGCUCAACCGUGGAGGGUCAUUGGAAACUAAUAAACUUGAGUGCAGGAGAGAAAAGUGGAAUUCCUAGUGUAGCGGUGAAAUGCGUAGAGAAUAGGAGGAACACCGGUGGCGAAAGCGGCUUUUUGUCCUGCAACUGACACUGAGGCGCGAAAGCGUGGGGAGCAAACAGG
This 429-nucleotide ribosomal RNA is filed under the name Verrucomicrobiota bacterium. RNAcentral's name for it is "Verrucomicrobia bacterium partial 16S ribosomal RNA". It matches the Rfam family "Bacterial small subunit ribosomal RNA", at positions 355 to 776 of the family's 1533-position model. Lineage: Bacteria; Pseudomonadati; Verrucomicrobiota. The record is from RNAcentral.